RNAcentral lists this ribosomal RNA (292 nucleotides) under uncultured bacterium. RNAcentral's name for it is "partial 16S ribosomal RNA". The record is from RNAcentral.
GGACUACCCGGGUUUCUAAUCCCGUUCGCUCCCCUAGCCUUCGCGCCUCAGCGUCAGGUUCGGCCCAGGGGGCCGCCUUCGCCACGGGUAUUCUUGCUGAUCUCUACGCAUUUCACCGCUACACCAGCAGUUCUACCCCCCUCUACCGUCCUCUAGCUCGCCAGUCUACAUCGCUCCCUCCCCGUUGAGCAGGGAGAUUUCACGAGGUACUUGACGUGCCGCCUGCGCGCCCUUUACGCCCAGUAAAUCCGGACAACGCUCGCCUCCUACGUAUUACCGCGGCGGCUGGCAC